UCCGAAGUAGCUCAAUGGCGGAGCAACCGGCUGUUAACCGGUAGGUUGUCGGUUCGAGCCCGACCUUCGGAGCCA
This 75-nucleotide transfer RNA is filed under the name Criibacterium bergeronii. RNAcentral describes it as "tRNA-Asn". It matches the Rfam family "tRNA". From Rfam's summary of the family: Transfer RNA (tRNA) molecules are approximately 80 nucleotides in length. Their secondary structure includes four short double-helical elements and three loops (D, anti-codon, and T loops). Further hydrogen bonds mediate the characteristic L-shaped molecular structure. tRNAs have two regions of fundamental functional importance: the anti-codon, which is responsible for specific mRNA codon recognition, and the 3' end, to which the tRNAs corresponding amino acid is attached (by aminoacyl-tRNA synthetases). tRNAs cope with the degeneracy of the genetic code in two manners: having more than one tRNA (with a specific anti-codon) for a particular amino acid; and 'wobble' base-pairing, i.e. permitting non-standard base-pairing at the 3rd anti-codon position. The record is from RNAcentral. Lineage: Bacteria; Bacillati; Bacillota; Clostridia; Peptostreptococcales; Filifactoraceae.